This 292-nucleotide ribosomal RNA is filed under the name uncultured bacterium. RNAcentral describes it as "partial 16S ribosomal RNA". It matches the Rfam family "Bacterial small subunit ribosomal RNA", at positions 505 to 796 of the family's 1533-position model. The record is from RNAcentral.
GUGUCAGCAGCCGCGGUAAUACGAAGGGUGCAAGCGUUACUCGGAAUUACUGGGCGUAAAGCGUGCGUAGGCGGUUUGUUAAGUCUGUCGUGAAAGCCCCGGGCUCAACCUGGGAAUGGCGAUGGAAACUGGCGAGCUAGAGUACGGUAGAGGAGAGUGGAAUUCCCGGUGUAGCAGUGAAAUGCGUAGAGAUCGGGAGGAACAUCAGUUGCGAAGGCGGCUCUCUGGACCAGUACUGACGCUGAGGCACGAAAGCGUGGGGAGCAAACAGGAUUAGAAACCCCCGUAGUCC